AGUCGAGCGAGUGAACUAACUGAUUCCUUCGGGAUGACGUUAGUGGAUCUAGCGGCGGACGGGUGAGUAACACGUGGGCAACCUGCCUGUAAGACUGGGAUAACUCGCGGAAACGUGAGCUAAUACCGGAUGAUACUUUGAACUGCAUGGUUCGAAGAUGAAAGGCGGCGCAAGCUGUCACUUACAGAUGGGCCCGCGGCGCAUUAGCUAGUUGGUGAGGUAACGGCUCACCAAGGCGACGAUGCGUAGCCGACCUGAGAGGGUGAUCGGCCACACUGGGACUGAGACACGGCCCAGACUCCUACGGGAGGCAGCAGUAGGGAAUCUUCCGCAAUGGACGAAAGUCUGACGGAGCAACGCCGCGUGAGUGAUGAAGGUUUUCGGAUCGUAAAACUCUGUUGUUAGGGAAGAACAAGUACAAGAGUAACUGCUUGUACCUUGACGGUACCUAACCAGAAAGCCCCGGCUAACUACGUGCCAGCAGCCGCGGUAAUACGUAGGGGGCAAGCGUUGUCCGGAAUUAUUGGGCGUAAAGCGCGCGCAGGCGGUCCUUUAAGUCUGAUGUGAAAGCCCACGGCUUAACCGUGGAGGGUCAUUGGAAACUGGAGGACUUGAGUACAGAAGAGGAGAGUGGAAUUCCACGUGUAGCGGUGAAAUGCGUAGAGAUGUGGAGGAACACCAGUGGCGAAGGCGACUCUCUGGUCUGUAACUGACGCUGAGG
RNAcentral lists this ribosomal RNA (721 nucleotides) under Ornithinibacillus scapharcae. RNAcentral's name for it is "bacterial SSU rRNA". It matches the Rfam family "Bacterial small subunit ribosomal RNA", at positions 60 to 751 of the family's 1533-position model. Lineage: Bacteria; Bacillati; Bacillota; Bacilli; Caryophanales; Bacillaceae. The record is from RNAcentral.